AUCGCUUCUCGACCUUUUGGCUAAGAUCAAGUGUAGUAUCUGUUCUUAUCAGUGUUUGAUUGCUAAAGUGAAACUGCAGACUGUGAGGAAAAUCAGGACCCCCAGAGUAUUUAAAAUGGAAUGGCAUUUUUCAUUUCCAUAUGAGAAAAUAUAAGGAUUUAUUUAAAAAUUAUUUGUAAAACUCCU
Molecule: small nuclear RNA, 186 nt
Organism: Macaca fascicularis (crab-eating macaque)
Lineage: Eukaryota; Metazoa; Chordata; Mammalia; Primates; Cercopithecidae
Gene: U2
Rfam family: U2 spliceosomal RNA
About the family: U2 is a small nuclear RNA (snRNA) component of the spliceosome (involved in pre-mRNA splicing). Complementary binding between U2 snRNA (in an area lying towards the 5' end but 3' to hairpin I) and the branchpoint sequence (BPS) of the intron results the bulging out of an unpaired adenosine, on the BPS, which initiates a nucleophilic attack at the intronic 5' splice site, thus starting the first of two transesterification reactions that mediate splicing.
Source: Ensembl